This 466-nucleotide ribosomal RNA is filed under the name Arthrobacter methylotrophus. RNAcentral describes it as "bacterial SSU rRNA". It matches the Rfam family "Bacterial small subunit ribosomal RNA", at positions 28 to 508 of the family's 1533-position model. The record is from RNAcentral. Lineage: Bacteria; Bacillati; Actinomycetota; Actinomycetes; Micrococcales; Micrococcaceae.
GAUGAACGCUGGCGGCGUGCUUAACACAUGCAAGUCGAACGAUGAUCUCCAGCUUGCUGGGGGAUUAGUGGCGAACGGGUGAGUAACACGUGAGUAACCUGCCCUUGACUCUGGGAUAAGCUGGGAAACUGGGUCUAAUACCGGAUAUGACCGAUCACCGCAUGGUGUGUUGGUGGAAAGCUUUUGCGGUUUUGGAUGGACUCGCGGCCUAUCAGCUUGUUGGUGGGGUAAUGGCCUACCAAGGCGACGACGGGUAGCCGGCCUGAGAGGGUGACCGGCCACACUGGGACUGAGACACGGCCCAGACUCCUACGGGAGGCAGCAGUGGGGAAUAUUGCACAAUGGGCGGAAGCCUGAUGCAGCGACGCCGCGUGAGGGAUGACGGCCUUCGGGUUGUAAACCUCUUUCAGUAGGGAAGAAGCGUAAGUGACCGUACCUGCAGAAGAAGCGCCGGCUAACUACGUGC